RNAcentral lists this ribosomal RNA (459 nucleotides) under fungal yeast sp. Urf2091. Its description in RNAcentral is "eukaryotic LSU rRNA". It matches the Rfam family "Eukaryotic large subunit ribosomal RNA", at positions 36 to 493 of the family's 3401-position model. The record is from RNAcentral. Lineage: Eukaryota; Fungi.
UUGCAUAUCAAUAAGCGGAGGAAAAGAAACCAACAGGGAUUGCCUUAGUAACGGCGAGUGAAGCGGCAAAAGCUCAAAUUUGAAAUCUGGCACCUUCGGUGUCCGAGUUGUAAUUUGAAGAAGGUAACUUUGGAGUUGGCUCUUGUCUAUGUUCCUUGGAACAGGACGUCACAGAGGGUGAGAAUCCCGUGCGAUGAGAUGCCCAAUUCUAUGUAAAGUGCUUUCGAAGAGUCGAGUUGUUUGGGAAUGCAGCUCUAAGUGGGUGGUAAAUUCCAUCUAAAGCUAAAUAUCGGCGAGAGACCGAUAGUCGAACAAGUACAGUGAUGGAAAGAUGAAAAGAACUUUGAAAAGACGAGUGAAAAAGUAGCGUGAAAUUGUUGAAAGGGAGAGGGCUUGAGAUCAGAGCUUGGUAUUUUGCGGUCCUUUCCUUCUUGGUUGGGUUCCUCGCAGCUUACUGGG